CUGGACUUGGUCUCUAUUGACGAUGGCAAAGCAGACUCUGUGUUGUGACAGCCAUCAAGGAUGUAAUCUUGAGGAAGGGCCUCCCAACAGAGAAACUCUAUGGACUUGGGACUGAGCAGCCGUGAUGACAGAAACAGUGCAAAUCGUACUGCAACACUCGGGGCAGCAUCGGCUACCCUGGGUGUCAGGGAUCUGAAAAUAAAGGUAAUAGUUAUUUGAUACCAUUGUAGUUAUCUUCUGUCUAUUCAUAACUAAUCAUUCUGUCUUUUAUUGCAACAUUUUCAGGAAGUGAAGGAUACAAGCUGGCUCUUUUAGCACAGGGUCAUCGAGACCCUACUGAGGAACUUGAGUGCAUUCCUUGGAGCCUUGGCAGAGGGGGCAGAGAUGAGAAGAUGUCCAGUGGCAAAGGGACCCUACACAUUCUGUGCUACAUACAGAUUUGUGGCAGCAGUUUACCUCCAGGCUGAUGUUUUGCCCCACCUCGCAUGUCUGUCCAAAAUCUUUCAAAAAGCAAAUGUCAACUUUUUACAAAUCAAGGAGCAGGUUCCUGUCACAAUUCAGUCUCUGGCUGGACAGACUCCACUCCCUGGAUCAUGCCUGUCUCGCCUCCAUCAGGACCUCGAUGAUCCCCAAGGACUCGGAGCCAGCACGAGGAGGAGAGGAAUAGGAGAGGGCGAGAUGUCAUGAAGCGCCGAGGGAGGAGCAGUGAGCCAGAUUCCAGCGAGAGGUUAUCCACCCUUAAAUAACUAGCCUGGAAACACACCUGGAGAGGAGGUUUCAUGAUCUGGACAUUCUUGGGGCCUUCAGUAUCUUGGGACCCGCACCUCAAUCAACCACUCUACAAGAUGAUACAAUCAACAUCUCUCAUCUGCGGACUCUUGCCAGGAAAUGUUGCCCUGAACAUGAGAAUGAGGUCCUGCAGGAGUGGUCCUCGUUCAAAAAUCAUGUCCUUGCUGGGGCAUUCACGGUGGGUCAAUUAAGCUGAUUCUGACUACAAUCAACUACAGUUCACAAUACACACACAUACACUAAUGCCUUGGUAAACCAAAAGUUGUUUCAAGAACAAUAACCAGGAGAUCAUGAGUCUGCUGGCAAGCGAGUUUGAUGAGUGGACCAACCUCUACCCCUGUCUGAGCCUCCUUGCAGGCAUUGCACUUGUUUUACCCGUUUCCUGUGUCAAUUACAACGUGAUUUCUCAACGGUGAACAGGGUGAAAACAGACCUGAAACCAGCUUCAAGGAGAACACCUGGCUGCCUGCCUGAGGAUCCCCAUAAACGGACCCCAUCCUGAGGCCUUCUCAUGUAAUAGGGCAUUGGAAUAUUUUUUCAGAAAGCCCCAUAAGAUAAAAUGUUCAAACACAUCUUGCAAACUUUGCAACAAGUAGGCUGUGGAGCAGUCAAAUGAGCACUCUGUAUAUCAUUUGAAAGUAAGGCACAACUGGCUUUCUGUCAGGCUGUCACAGUCUGUAGUAACAUGCCAAAGGGGAAACAUGUUAUGCUAUUAUUUGGAUUUAUUAUUUAUAUUUAUUUAUGUUAUAUUUGAAUAAACAAAUCUAAUACCCCGA
This is a long non-coding RNA of Labrus mixtus (cuckoo wrasse), 1565 nucleotides long. RefSeq lists it as uncharacterized. The record is from RefSeq and is a predicted model, not a curated record. The transcript is spliced from 5 exons. Lineage: Eukaryota; Metazoa; Chordata; Actinopteri; Labriformes; Labridae.